This 431-nucleotide long non-coding RNA is filed under the name Androctonus crassicauda. Lineage: Eukaryota; Metazoa; Arthropoda; Arachnida; Scorpiones; Buthidae. The record is from RNAcentral.
CCAAAUAAAAAUAUAUUAAUAAAAUAGUUUUUUUUUUAAAUCAAAAUAUUAAUACAGUAUAGGUAACAAUAAUAUGAUUGUUUUAUCAAAAUUAAUAAGUAGGUAAUAUAAAUAAUUUUAUUAAUGAGAAGGAUGUGAUUGAUUUUGAAGAUUAUAUCAAGACGUGACUCUAAAUUACAUAAACAUAUGCCUAACUCCUCAUUUACCAUCAGUAAUCAUUCCCCCCCUUUUUUCAUUUCCAUGAGAGUUGAGAAAUUUAAUUCACAAGGAUACAAUGAUCCAACCAGCAACAAGGAUUUAAUCAAAGAUAUUGAUUCCAGAGUAAACUCCAAAAUGCUGACAAUUCUAGCUCAGAAUGUGAAGUUUUGCGCACAGGGUCAUUUCUCAAGUCUAUUAAAUUUUCUUCAAUUAAUGUCAGGCUUGUGUCAUGG